UUCCAAAAAGACGGUUAAGUUCGUCUCAACUUCACGCUCGCCGCAAACUAAUCACGUGGGUUUGCGGCUGGCCACUAAUUCCACCGUGACGCUCACAAGCAAACUGUGGGCUUAGCGGCAGAUAUGCAGAACCCGCAUGACCCGCAAACUCACUUAGCUAGCUUUCUUGUCUGCAAACUACAGGCUGCAGCGCUUCACUUGUAAGCCCAAUAAAAAAAGCACUGCAUAUUACUUGUCAAGAGUCCAUUAAUCUGGCAUCUUACAUUAUCCAGGAUAGCUAUAUUACAUUUUGACAUGAACGUUAUCAGUACAACAGUAUAUCAACUUGCUCUUCAGCAAUUCAACUUGAUACCUCGUAGGGUUUUCUGAAUACUAAUCAAAUCCCUAACUUGCCACUGUGAUAAUCUUGAUAGAAGUUAAUGACCUGAAAUCUUUGGACACUAACGAUGGUGACAAGUAAAAGAAUAAACUUUGAAGAAUCUUUAUCCUCCAAGCACCUUCAUUCCUUCUUCAAAUCUGAAGUGAAAAAACAAGAUUUCUGAUCGGAACGGUUUUAUCAUGGGAACAAAAUACAGUUAGCUGUGAGCCAAAACAACUGCAUCAUAUUCAGAAUCAAAAUUUCUGCCUCAAAGAGUUCAGAAAAAUAAUGGAUGCCAACCUACUCAUUGUAGUACUAAAAAUACAAGCAGUCAGUAAAACCAAAACAAGUUGGUAUUUUAUUCAAAUUGGUUGAUCUUAUUCACAUUCCAGGCUCUUUUGUUCACUUGGAAGAUACUAGGCCGAAGGCUAAGAGUAGAACUAACCUGAUCCCUAGCUCAAAUUUACUACUAGUACUACAGCGAUUCAAUUAGAUAGCACUGCCAUAGUACAGUACACCUAGAGAUUGAAUCAAUCAAGAACAUGGCAGGACUGUACCUAGAGCCGUACAGCUAAAGAAAUUACCACUGUACCAUUCAUCGAAAAAAUUAGCUCUGUUUGCAUACUCCUUUGCCGUCCUCCUUCUUGAGCAACCUGUUCUCCUUGCGCAGCCUCCGUAUUGUCUGCAUUCAUAGAAGAAGUUCACUGGACCCAUAAUUACACUUUGCUGCAGCUCAUUGAGCGGCUGCUGCUGCAGCUGUGCUGCCUGUGCAGCCCAGCCAUUCGGCUGCAUGCCAAAAUAGCAGUACAGCUGCGCUAGCUGGCUGGGAGCAGUUGUUGAAGAAGCUGCUGCUGUCCUGUAGCGACUGCUGCAUCCCAUUCAGCAUAGCUGCAUAGGCCCCCAUGUGUAUCCAGCACCGUGUGUCCUCCGAGAGUUAAGAAGCCUCUAGAGUUUAGAAAAAUUAACAAUGCCUAACAUAGAUCAUAGUGAGGUUAAGAAGCUAAUGUGAGAACUUCAGCUAGUUUUGUAUAUGUGAGGUGACUGUCCUGCUGCACAGUAUCAUCUUCUUCUACAACUUCUCCCAAAUCAUCAACUAUCAUACCCAAAAUUGAAGUGCUCGCAAAUAGCACUGUCCCAUGAGAUUCAGGCCAGCGGCAACUCGGGGGAGGCACGAAACGUGCAACAGUGAAAAAGUACAUAUGAGUUACAGUUUGCUUUACUUCGAUUAAUCACUAUCAUGCGGCAGUUUCUUAUACAACUUUGUUUAGUAGACCAUUCGUGCGCAACUAAACACACGAUCCGCACAUGCAUCCACCCAUCCAGGUGAAAACCACAACAAACCUAAUCAAAGACUUGAAGAAAUCUCCUGCAAUUUAUACCGUCAUGAGAACAGAUCGAAGAAAACUCGCAAAACCUGACACCGAUCGAUCCCCCGAUCCCCAACCACAACAAAUCAUCGAUUAAUAAACCAAAUCACGAAACCUCGGCAACAGGAGAGUUCACCUCGUCAUCAUUGGCGCCGGAAGAGAGCCCGUCCUCCUCGCGCGCCCUCGCGGCUGUCGCCGCGGACACCGGUGGCAGCGGCGGAGGAUGGGGCGGGGCUGGGGCGCUCUAGGGUUGGGAUUGGUAGCAGGGCAUACUAGCGGCCAACGUUGACGGUGGCGGCAGCAGCGGAAGGGCGGCCGGGCGUGGACGUGGACGGCGGCGGCAGCUAGGUUUCGCGAGGAGAAACGAAGAUGCGGGUUCUUUGCGGAUUUCUUCUCUGGUCCGCGGGCCUUAGCACGUUCACCAAUGUUGGGCCACCAGAAUUUCGCCGCUGGGCCGCAU
Molecule: long non-coding RNA, 2185 nt
Filed under: Setaria viridis
Lineage: Eukaryota; Viridiplantae; Streptophyta; Magnoliopsida; Poales; Poaceae
Description: long non-coding RNA (SVIR_LNC011210)
Source: RNAcentral